UUUACUCUUCAGGGGCCCUAAUCAUUCUAUACCUGAACUGGACAGAAAGAAAAUAAUUUGUUCACUUAACAGAAAGAAAGUCUAUACUCCCAAAACAAAAUGAGUCAGACAGUGAUCUUUGAAUUAACAGGCUCUGCUGACGGACUAUUUUCCCCACUUUUCAUCAGUCUGGUGACAGUGGACUCUGGACAGAGAUAAAUGAGAGGUCAAGCUACCCUUCAUUUUUCCAGAGGAUUAUUUCACCCACAGAUAAGGCACGAAGAAGGAAGUAAUAGUCAAGACCAGCCUGUGAGAAAACAACAAAAAAAGGAUAACUAACAAAAGCCCCAUUCUCCAGCUCUUGCCCCGGCCAGCGCUUCAGCACGGUGAAAAUUCUAACAAGGAGCAAACAGCAAAGAACUGAAAUGCUAUACAGACUCCAGUGAGAAAAAACUGAGGUAAUUGGUUUCGGUGUGCUGGUGCUUGAAACUCUAUCCCAGUGCUUCCUUCAACUAAGGCUGCAAAUUGAAAAUGUGAAGAACCUUGCCUGCUUGAACCAGCCUGGGCUUGUGGCAGCAUCAUUCUGUCACUUAAUUCUUCUCACAGAGAUGGAGUCUCUGUCUGUUGCCCAAACUUCCCAGAUUCAAGUGAUUCUCC
This 636-nucleotide long non-coding RNA is filed under the name Homo sapiens (human). RNAcentral's name for it is "HSALNT0347573". Lineage: Eukaryota; Metazoa; Chordata; Mammalia; Primates; Hominidae. The record is from RNAcentral.